Molecule: long non-coding RNA, 1820 nt
Organism: Capsicum annuum
Lineage: Eukaryota; Viridiplantae; Streptophyta; Magnoliopsida; Solanales; Solanaceae
Exons: 4
Source: RefSeq, a predicted model, not a curated record
AAUAGGUACUAACCUCAAUAGUUUUAACUACUGGCUUAUUUAAAAGUUGUAAUUGUCUGUCCAAUGCUUCAUUCCUUUACCUGUGAUGUAAAUAAUGUGGAAGAAUUCUUUGUUUCUUCUUUGUUUCAUGUGUCAGCAUGGUUGUAUUGAUUAAUAAGAAUACAGAAAGUUCUUACAUUUCAAGACUUCCGCGACAUGACACAGGAUGAACGUGCAGAUCUGUUGACUCAUGACAUCGUUACCAUACAUGCUUGGGUCACUAUUUUUUGCAAGAAUACAGUGUAGUAGUGGCUUGAUACACGCCUUUCCACAUUGUCCGUAUUUUUCUUUUGACAAAGAGGACUCCUUAAUUAUUCACAAUUGUCAUUUUCGCUCCUAUAAUUACGUUGGAAUUCUGUGCAGCCCAUCUCUAUUAACUCCUCCAAUUUUUAUGACACAUGAACAUGGAAGAUGCAGUCACAAGUUGAUGGAUUGAAGAGGGCACAAUUCACUGAUCAAAUGCUUCCUGCUAAAGCUCUCAUACUCAAUAACUUUGGCUACAGGGUAAAAGAUCAAGACACAUUAAUCGAACUCCGAAUAUUUGAUAAACAAGAUACGCAUUUGAAGCUUAAUCUUUUUCUUUGCAGCUUGGGUUGUAUACCUCGCCCCUACACUGGUUAAGAACUGUUGAGUUUUAUGAGCUUUUCAAUUUCACACAAGGUUUCUCCAGACAAUCUAUUUGUGAUAAUCUUCUUCUUCAGGAUGAUUAAUAUACUUGAUGUCAAUUUGAGGAUUAAAAUGAUUACUCUUUUAUGUUGAAAUGGUAGAGGCUCGACACUUUCAGCUAUUUGUUCGGCACUAGGAGUUUGUACUUGAUUGAUUGAUUACGUGUUGCUUAUAGUUGUGUAAAAGGUUCCAUUAUAAUAUGGGGCUUAAGACAUAUUGUUUGCAUUUUCACCUCCAGCAGUAUUGCAAUUUGCCUAUAGUCUUCUCUUCUCCAAAGAUGUGAAAUAUUUGGUUAACUAACAGCCCCUUCUCACUAUAUCAUGAGAAUGUUAUUGCUGUUUGGCGCAGGUAGCUUAACUGCCUUACCCAUCAUUGAAAUACAAACUGAGGACAUAUCAGCCUAUAUUCCCAUCGGUGUGAUCCCUGUUACUGAUGGCCAAAAUUAUUUGCAAACAGAGCUCUUUUGGAUAAGCUCUGAACCAUAAAUUACUCUCUCAGACCCAACCACCAAAAAGUCUACCGGCAACAACUAUGGAGUUAAACAAUAUGUUGAUAUUCACAUUUGAUACAAGUAUGAUGAGAAGCAUAGCAACACCUAUACAUGACCCUUAAGAUAAAAUUCUUAAAAAGAUUGGUGAAGGUACCUUUGGUCAAGUUCUAGAAUGUUGGGACAGAGAGCAGAAGGGAUUUGUUGCCAUCAAAUUAUCCGAGGUAUUAAGAAGUAUCGUGAAGUAGCAAUGGUAGAAGUCGACGUGCUUCAAGGAAGAUAUGAUAGGAGUGGAAGCCAGUAUGUCUUUUCUAUAUUGAAUAUACUGGCUCUUCAUAUAAAUGCAAUUUUGAAUGUGAUGGUUAAAGAAGUUCCCUCGUUGCAGUUGUACACAAUUACGGAACUGAUUUGAUUAUCGUAAUCAUAUUUGCUUAGUAAGUACAUUACUGAUUUGUGGUAACCUGAUAUCCCCAGCUUUGCUAAUUCUAUGGGGACUUAAAGCUUGCAAUGAAUUUAAUGGUUUUAACAGGUAUUGGGUCCGCGCUCAAGCAUGGCCAUGCCCACCUAGUAUAUAUAUAUUUUCUAAUAUAUAAAAGAGUGAAGGAAAGUAGGAGGCGGUCAUCAUGCC